Small nucleolar RNA from Heterocephalus glaber (naked mole-rat), 122 nucleotides. NCBI's taxonomy places the organism in Eukaryota, Metazoa, Chordata, Mammalia, Rodentia, Bathyergidae. The record is from Ensembl.
UGCUAUGUACAUUUUUGUUUAACUUGUGGACAAAGACUUAUAGAUGGGUGCAAAAAAUAAAUCCUCUUGCAAUCCAGAAUUCACUGUUCAGUAUAGUUUUGAUGCAUAGAAGAAGGAACAUU